This 1354-nucleotide ribosomal RNA is filed under the name Mycobacterium sp. DWMJ-1921B4. Its description in RNAcentral is "bacterial SSU rRNA". It matches the Rfam family "Bacterial small subunit ribosomal RNA", at positions 80 to 1435 of the family's 1533-position model. The record is from RNAcentral. Lineage: Bacteria; Bacillati; Actinomycetota; Actinomycetes; Mycobacteriales; Mycobacteriaceae.
UCGGGGGUACUCGAGUGGCGAACGGGUGAGUAACACGUGGGCAAUCUGCCCUGCACUUCGGGAUAAGCCUGGGAAACUGGGUCUAAUACCGGAUAGGACCUUUAGGCGCAUGUCUUUAUGUGGAAAGCUUUUGCGGUGUGGGAUGGGCCCGCGGCCUAUCAGCUUGUUGGUGGGGUGAUGGCCUACCAAGGCGACGACGGGUAGCCGGCCUGAGAGGGUGUCCGGCCACACUGGGACUGAGAUACGGCCCAGACUCCUACGGGAGGCAGCAGUGGGGAAUAUUGCACAAUGGGCGCAAGCCUGAUGCAGCGACGCCGCGUGGGGGAUGACGGCCUUCGGGUUGUAAACCUCUUUCACCAUCGACGAAGGUUCGGGUUUUCUCGGAUUGACGGUAGGUGGAGAAGAAGCACCGGCCAACUACGUGCCAGCAGCCGCGGUAAUACGUAGGGUGCGAGCGUUGUCCGGAAUUACUGGGCGUAAAGAGCUCGUAGGUGGUUUGUCGCGUUGUUCGUGAAAUCUCACGGCUUAACUGUGAGCGUGCGGGCGAUACGGGCAGACUAGAGUACUGCAGGGGAGACUGGAAUUCCUGGUGUAGCGGUGGAAUGCGCAGAUAUCAGGAGGAACACCGGUGGCGAAGGCGGGUCUCUGGGCAGUAACUGACGCUGAGGAGCGAAAGCGUGGGGAGCGAACAGGAUUAGAUACCCUGGUAGUCCACGCCGUAAACGGUGGGUACUAGGUGUGGGUUUCCUUCCUUGGGAUCCGUGCCGUAGCUAACGCAUUAAGUACCCCGCCUGGGGAGUACGGCCGCAAGGCUAAAACUCAAAGGAAUUGACGGGGGCCCGCACAAGCGGCGGAGCAUGUGGAUUAAUUCGAUGCAACGCGAAGAACCUUACCUGGGUUUGACAUGCACAGGACGCGUCUAGAGAUAGGCGUUCCCUUGUGGCCUGUGUGCAGGUGGUGCAUGGCUGUCGUCAGCUCGUGUCGUGAGAUGUUGGGUUAAGUCCCGCAACGAGCGCAACCCUUGUCUCAUGUUGCCAGCGGGUAAUGCCGGGGACUCGUGAGAGACUGCCGGGGUCAACUCGGAGGAAGGUGGGGAUGACGUCAAGUCAUCAUGCCCCUUAUGUCCAGGGCUUCACACAUGCUACAAUGGCCGGUACAAAGGGCUGCGAUGCCGCAAGGUUAAGCGAAUCCUUUUAAAGCCGGUCUCAGUUCGGAUUGGGGUCUGCAACUCGACCCCAUGAAGUCGGAGUCGCUAGUAAUCGCAGAUCAGCAACGCUGCGGUGAAUACGUUCCCGGGCCUUGUACACACCGCCCGUCACGUCAUGAAAGUCGGUAACACCCGAAGCCAGUGGCC